CCUACGGGCGGCUGCAGUAAGGAAUCUUCCGCAAUGGGCGAAAGCCUGACGGAGCGACACCGCGUGGUGGAUGACGGCCUAUGGGUUGUAAACACCUUUUCUAGGGGAAGAAGAUCUGACGGUACCCUAGGAAUAAGCCCCGGCUAAUUACGUGCCAGCAGCCGCGGUAAUACGUAAGGGGCAAGCGUUACCCGGAAUUAUUGGGCGUAAAGCGUCCGCAGGCGGAAAUAUAAGUCAGUUAUUAAAUACCGGUGCUCAUCAUCGGUGCUGUAACCGAAACUGUAUUUCUAGAGGAUGGGAGAGGUAUAUGGAAUUGUGCACGUAGGGGUAAAAUCCGUAGAUAUGCACAGGAACACCAAAAGCGAAGGCAGUAUACUGGACCAUUCCUGACGCUCAGGGACGAAAGCGUGGGUAGCAAAAGGGAUUAGAUACCCUUGUAGUC
This 442-nucleotide ribosomal RNA is filed under the name uncultured bacterium. Its description in RNAcentral is "bacterial SSU rRNA". It matches the Rfam family "Bacterial small subunit ribosomal RNA", at positions 338 to 795 of the family's 1533-position model. The record is from RNAcentral.